CAGUCGCGCGGGAAUACGAGGGGAGCUAGCGUUGUUCGGAAUUACUGGGCGUAAAGCGCGCGUAGGCGGCUUUUUAAGUCAGAGGUGAAAGCCCGGGGCUCAACCCCGGAAUUGCCUUUGAAACUGGAAAGCUAGAAUCUUGGAGAGGUCAGUGGAAUUCCGAGUGUAGAGGUGAAAUUCGUAGAUAUUCGGAAGAACACCAGUGGCGAAGGCGACUGACUGGACAAGUAUUGACGCUGAGGUGCGAAAGCGUGGGGAGCAAACAGGAUUAGAUACCCCCGUAGUCCCUGUCUCUUAUACA
Molecule: ribosomal RNA, 301 nt
Filed under: uncultured bacterium
Lineage: Bacteria
Description: partial 16S ribosomal RNA
Rfam family: Bacterial small subunit ribosomal RNA
Source: RNAcentral